UGGGGAAUAUUGGGGCAAUGGGGGAAACCCUGACCCAGCAACGCCGCGUGAAGGAAGAAGGCCUUCGGGUUGUAAACAUUCUUUUUCAUCCACGGGAGCGAAGGACGUGACGGUACCUGGAGAAAAAGCAACGGCUAACUACGUGCCAGCAGCCGCGGUAAUACGUAGGUUGCGAGCGUUGUCCGGAUUUACUGGGUGUAAAGGGCGUGUAGGCGGAGAAGCAAGUUGGGAGUGAAAUCUAUGGGCUCAACCCAUAAACUGCUCUCAAAACUGUUUCCCUUGAGUAUCGGAGAGGCAAGCGGAAUUCCUAGUGUAGCGGUGAAAUGCGUAGAUAUUAGGAGGAACACCAGUGGCGAAGGCGGCUUGCUGGACGACAACUGACGCUGAGGCGCGAAAGCGUGGGGAGCAAACAGGAUUAGAUACC
This 424-nucleotide ribosomal RNA is filed under the name uncultured bacterium. RNAcentral describes it as "bacterial SSU rRNA". It matches the Rfam family "Bacterial small subunit ribosomal RNA", at positions 355 to 786 of the family's 1533-position model. The record is from RNAcentral.